This 804-nucleotide ribosomal RNA is filed under the name Dugesia sp. MR1151. Its description in RNAcentral is "SSU rRNA". It matches the Rfam family "Eukaryotic small subunit ribosomal RNA", at positions 132 to 944 of the family's 1831-position model. Lineage: Eukaryota; Metazoa; Platyhelminthes; Tricladida; Dugesiidae. The record is from RNAcentral.
UUUGCCACAAGAUAACUGUGGUAAUUCUAGAGCUAAUAUUUUAAAGAAUGCCGUGACUCACGAAGCGGCGGAUUUAUUAGAUCAAAACUAACCUGUCGCAAGGCAGAAUUUUGAUGACUCUGGAUAACUUCACUGAUCGUACAACCUUUGUGUUGACGACGAAUCUCUUGAAAUGGCUGACCUAUCAACUUUCGAUGGUAAGAUCAAAGCUUACCAUGGUUGUAACGGGUAACGGGGAAUCAGUGUUCGAUUCCGGAGAGGGAGCCUGAGAAACGGCUACCACAUCCACGGAAGGCAGCAGGCGCGAAAAUUACCCAAUACCGGUUCGGUGAGGUAGUGAAAAUAAAUAACAAUAUGGGCCCUUGUGGUUUCAUAAUUGCAAUGAGAAUAUUUUAAAUACUUUAUCAAGUAUCAAUUGGAGGGCAAGUCUGGUGCCAGCAGCUGCGGUAAUUCCAGCUCCAAAAGCGUAUAUUAAAGUUGUUGCAGUUAAAAAGCUCGUAGUUGAAAUUGAGGAAAUGAUUCUUUAUGAGGUCUAUGACCGAAUGUUGAGUCUUCCUUCUCCGUCGUGUAUAUUGUUGAGUCACUUUACUGGGAUUCUUCGAUAACCGACAAGUUUACUUUGAAAAAAUUAGAGUGCUUAAAGCAGGCUUAUGCUUGUAUAUUGUUGCAUGGAAUAAUGAAAUAAGACUUCGGUUUUAUUUUGUUGGUUUUCGAAACUGAAGUAAUGAUUAAAAGAGACUGCCGGGGGCAUAUGUAUGCUGGUGCUAGAGGUGAAAUUCUGAGACCAUCAGCAGACAAUCUACU